UUCUGAACGCCCCGGGCUGCGCUUUGGAAUAGCCCCGGGGCGGCCGUCCCCCCACAACCAAGGAGGACGCGAUCUGGGGAAGCCGGUCCCCCCGCGCCCCAGACCUAGGUGCGUCCCCGGCCGAGGGAGAAAGGCACGUGACCCCAACAAAAGAGAAACAGAAAAAGGAAAGCAAGUUCCUGGAAAGGAUGAGGAAGCACAAGGGGGCGAGGAAGUUGCUGCUUCUGAGCUGAAGAACAGAAACUGAAUCUUCAAAAAAGCAAAAGCUGGGAAGGACGGAUAGAAAACCUCAUCUCAUGGUCACAGUAAAAUACUAAAAGAAUGGAGCUGCUGGGUCACAGGCUCCGGGAACACUGAACUUUACUAGAAAGUGCCAGCUGUCCACAGUGGCUUUCCGUUCUGCACCCCACAAGCAGCUGGCUCGCCUCCGGCACCUUGCUCCAAAGCUGUCAUCUUCUUGCUGAUGCUUCUUGCCAAGGAAGAGGCGAUCUGGACAGAGGCACCCGUAAGGUGGGUGUGAGGAAGACAGGAGAGGCGACCAGCUACCGGCCCCAGGGUGAACCUCAGAAGAAACCAGCCCCGACACCUUCAUCUUGGACAUCCAGCCUCCAGAAUUGUGAGCAAAUCUGUUUCUGCUGUUGAAGCCACCAGCUCUGGGUGCUUGUUAUGGCGGCCCCAGCAGGCUCACACGCCCACUGCUGCUAUGAGUCACCGUGCUCAGUUGGAGGGGCCUGGGUUUCUUUCCCUUUUACUGCUUGGGUUCCCACCAGGGGAGCUCCUGGCCCAGAGCAGGCCUCAUCUGUCUUGUCCUGCCCUGAGGACAAAGUCAAAGUUUACCAUUUUAUAGCUAAAUUCAAAUCUUUUCCCUGUUUUCACAGGCUUGGGUCCCUUAAGAUCCUUUUUGAAGUCUGUUUCUGACAAGUCCAGGGGACUUUUGGGGUGUGGUGUUGGGACUCCCUGAACCCCUGUGAUGACCUGGUCUUUUCAGGCAUAGGCCCUGGGCCAGGUCACGCUCACACCCAGACUCAGAUUCAGGCACCUGCAUGGCCCUGAGUGUGACCCUAGCACUGGCUGGACGACCCAAGGGUGAGGCACGCUGUCAUGUUCAAGGGGGAGUCUGGGGAACUGAGGUCACUGACAUCUGACUUCCAGAUGCCUGGAGCGUUCUAGGGCGAGGCCGGCCCAGGCUGACAAUCGGGUUGUGGGUAACCCUAACCCUAAAAGGAAAAUCUGCUCCAUCUCAGGUCGUUCAGAGAGGAAGAGACACUAUUCUCAAUUGGGCACUUUUUGGGGGGUCCCCCAGAAGUUCUGUAGGCUUCCCCCCUCCCCUGAGCCAGACUGACCUUUUUUUUUUAGUUUUUUUUUUUUUUAAGAUUUAUUUAUUUAUUUAUACAAGCACUGGGUACAGUCAGAAGCCCAGGAGGGUGAGAGAAUUCACCAGAGCCAGAGCAGGGAGCAGAACAGGCAGACUGACGAAGU
Talpa occidentalis (Iberian mole) is the source of this 1479-nucleotide long non-coding RNA. RefSeq lists it as uncharacterized. The transcript has 3 exons. The record is from RefSeq and is a predicted model, not a curated record. NCBI's taxonomy places the organism in Eukaryota, Metazoa, Chordata, Mammalia, Eulipotyphla, Talpidae.